RNAcentral lists this ribosomal RNA (429 nucleotides) under Actinomycetes bacterium. Its description in RNAcentral is "Actinobacteria bacterium partial 16S ribosomal RNA". It matches the Rfam family "Bacterial small subunit ribosomal RNA", at positions 355 to 776 of the family's 1533-position model. The record is from RNAcentral. Lineage: Bacteria; Bacillati; Actinomycetota; Actinomycetes.
UAGGGAAUCUUCCGCAAUGGGCGAAAGCCUGACGGAGCAACGCCGCGUGAGUGAUGAAGGUCUUCGGAUCGUAACACUCUGUUAUUAGGGAAGAACAAAUGUGUAAGUAACUAUGCACGUCUUGACGGUACCUAAUCAGAAAGCCACGGCUAACUACGUGCCAGCAGCCGCGGUAAUACGUAGGUGGCAAGCGUUAUCCGGAAUUAUUGGGCGUAAAGCGCGCGUAGGCGGUUUUUUAAGUCUGAUGUGAAAGCCCACGGCUCAACCGUGGAGGGUCAUUGGAAACUGGAAAACUUGAGUGCAGAAGAGGAAAGUGGAAUUCCAUGUGUAGCGGUGAAAUGCGCAGAGAUAUGGGGGAACACCAGUGGCGAAGGCGACUUUCUGGUCUGUAACUGACGCUGAUGUGCGAAAGCGUGGGGAUCAAACAGG